This 255-nucleotide ribosomal RNA is filed under the name uncultured bacterium. RNAcentral describes it as "partial 16S ribosomal RNA". It matches the Rfam family "Bacterial small subunit ribosomal RNA", at positions 524 to 777 of the family's 1533-position model. The record is from RNAcentral.
UACGUAGGGGGCGAGCGUUGUCCGGAUUCAUUGGGCGUAAAGCGCACGUAGGCGGUCUGUUAUGUCGGAUGUGAAAGCCCUUGGCUCAACUGAGGAAGUGCAUCCGAAACUGGCAGGCUAGAGUACUAAAGAGGAUCGCGGAAUUCCCGGUGUAGAGGUGAAAUUCGUAGAUAUCGGGAGGAACACCGGUGGCGAAGGCGGCGAUCUGGGUAGAUACUGACGCUGAGGUGCGGAAAGCGUGGGGAGCAAACAGGG